This 69-nucleotide transfer RNA is filed under the name Ailuropoda melanoleuca (giant panda). It matches the Rfam family "tRNA". Rfam says of the family: Transfer RNA (tRNA) molecules are approximately 80 nucleotides in length. Their secondary structure includes four short double-helical elements and three loops (D, anti-codon, and T loops). The record is from Rfam by way of RNAcentral. Lineage: Eukaryota; Metazoa; Chordata; Mammalia; Carnivora; Ursidae.
GGCUGGCUCAGUUGGUAGAGCAUGUGACUCUUGAUCGUAGGGUUGUGAGUUUGAGCCCCAUGUUGGCCA